RNAcentral lists this ribosomal RNA (429 nucleotides) under uncultured bacterium. Its description in RNAcentral is "bacterial SSU rRNA". It matches the Rfam family "Bacterial small subunit ribosomal RNA", at positions 355 to 796 of the family's 1533-position model. The record is from RNAcentral.
UCGAGAAUCUUCCGCAAUGGGCGAAAGCCUGACGGAGCGACGCCGCGUGGUUGAUGAAGUCCUUCGGGACGUAAAAACCUUUUAUGAGGGAGGAAGUUAUUGACGUUACCUCAUGAAUAAGGGGCUCCUAACUCUGUGCCAGCAGGAGCGGUAAUACAGAGGCCCCAAGCAUUAUCCGGAAUCACUGGGCGUAAAGGGUGUGUAGGUGGCGUUAUUAGUCUUUUGUUAAAGUCCUCGGGCUUAACCCAAGGAAUGCAGGGGAAACGGUAGCGCUUAGAGGACGUGAGAGGUAGAGGGAACUCAUGGUGUAGGGGUGAAAUCCGUUGAUAUCAUGGGGAACACCAAAUGCGAAGGCACUCUACUGGCGCGCUCCUGACGCUGAAACACGAAAGCGUGGGAAUCGAACGGGAUUAGAUACCCCCGUAGUCC